UGGGGAAUUUUGGACAAUGGGCGAAAGCCUGAUCCAGCAAUGCCGCGUGUGUGAAGAAGGCCUUCGGGUUGUAAAGCACUUUUGUCCGGAAAGAAAUCCUUGGCUCUAAUACAGUCGGGGGAUGACGGUACCGGAAGAAUAAGCACCGGCUAACUACGUGCCAGCAGCCGCGGUAAUACGUAGGGUGCAAGCGUUAAUCGGAAUUACUGGGCGUAAAGCGUACGCAGGCGGUUUGCUAAGACCGAUGUGAAAUCCCCGGGCUCAACCUGGGAACUGCAUUGGUGACUGGCAGGCUAGAGUAUGGCAGAGGGGGGUUAGAAUUCCACGUGUAGCAGUGAAAUGCGUAGAGAUGUGGAGGAAUACCGAUGGCGAAGGCAGCCCCC
RNAcentral lists this ribosomal RNA (383 nucleotides) under uncultured bacterium. RNAcentral's name for it is "partial 16S ribosomal RNA". It matches the Rfam family "Bacterial small subunit ribosomal RNA", at positions 355 to 729 of the family's 1533-position model. The record is from RNAcentral.